AUGUGGAGCCGUAGCGAAAGCGAGUCUGAAUAGGGCGUUGAGUAUUUGGUCGUAGACCCGAAACCAGGUGAUCUACCCAUGGUCAGGUUGAAGUUCAGGUAACACUGAAUGGAGGACCGAACCGACUUACGUUGAAAAGUGAGCGGAUGAACUGUGGGUAGCGGAGAAAUUCCAAUCGAACUUGGAGAUAGCUGGUUCUCUCCGAAAUAGCUUUAGGGCUAGCCUCAAGUGAUGAUUAUUGGAGGUAGAGCACUGUUUGGACGAGGGGCCCCUCUCGGGUUACCGAAUUCAGACAAACUCCGAAUGCCAAUUAAUUUAACUUGGGAGUCAGAACAUGGGUGAUAAGGUCCGUGUUCGAAAGGGAAACAGCCCAGACCACCAGCUAAGGUCCCAAAAUAUAUGUUAAGUGGAAAAGGAUGUGGCGUUGCCCAGACAACUAGGAUGUUGGCUUAGAAGCAGCCAUCAUUUAAAGAGUGCGUAAUAGCUCACUAGUCGAGUGACACUGCGCCGAAAAUGUACCGGGGCUAAACAUAUUACCGAAGCUGUGGAUUGUCCGUAGGACAAUGGUAGGAGAGCGUUCUAAGGGCGUUGAAGCAUGAUCGCAAGGACAUGUGGAGCGCUUAGAAGUGAGAAUGCCGGUGUGAGUAGCGAAAGACGGGGGAGAAUCCCGUCCACCGAUUGACUAAGGUUUCCAGAGGAAGGCUCGUCCGCUCUGGGUUAGUCGGGUCCUAAGCUGAGGCCGACAGGCGUAGGCGAUGGAUAACAGGUUGAUAUUCCUGUACCACCUAGCAUCGUUUUAAUCGAUGGGGGGACGCAGUAGGAUAGGCGAAGCGUACGAUUGGAUUGUACGUC
Molecule: ribosomal RNA, 852 nt
Filed under: Staphylococcus haemolyticus
Lineage: Bacteria; Bacillati; Bacillota; Bacilli; Caryophanales; Staphylococcaceae
Description: bacterial LSU rRNA
Rfam family: Bacterial large subunit ribosomal RNA
Source: RNAcentral